Long non-coding RNA from Oncorhynchus tshawytscha (Chinook salmon), 425 nucleotides. The record is from Ensembl. NCBI's taxonomy places the organism in Eukaryota, Metazoa, Chordata, Actinopteri, Salmoniformes, Salmonidae.
CAGUAAUGGCAGGUAGAAUCUAUUGAUGACAUGGCAGUAAUGGCGGGUAGAAUCUAUUGAUGGCAGGUAGAAUCUAUUGAUGGCAGGUAGAAUCUAUUGAUUACAUGGCAGUAAUGGCAGGUAGAAUCUAUUGAUUACAUGGCAGUAAUGGCAGGUAGAAUCUAUUGAUGACAUGGCAGUAAUGGCAGGUAGAAUCUAUUGAUGACAUGGCAGGUAGAAUCUAUUGAUGACAUGGCAAAUCUAUUGAUGACAUGGCAGGUAGAAUCUAUUGAUGACAUGGCAGUAAUGGCGGGUAGAAUCUAUUGAUGGCAUGGCAGUAAUGGCAGGUAGAAUCUAUUGAUUACAUGGCAGUAAUGGCAGGUAGAAUCUAUUGAUGGCAGGUAGAAUCUAUUGAUGGCAGGUAGAAUAUAUUGAUGACAUGGCAG